GGUUCUCUUAGGAAGCUGGAAUCCCUUCUGAAAGUCUGUGAUGUAAAGAGAGAUGUGUUUCUUCACAGGCUGCCUUUUAAAAGGUGAAGCAGUAAAAUGCUGUUUGUGUUCUUAAUUUCUCCUGAAAAUCCUGAAAGAGUGGAUGUAUGUUCUUGCUUUGCCACCACCUAAUACAAGAUAUUCCUGGCUGCAAAGAUCUUGAGAACAAUUCAAGAGAGAUGUUGAGGUGCUGGAGCAUGUCCAGAGAAGCUGAAUUCCUGAUGUCUCUGGACUAACUCAUAUGAAGCUCUGCACUGCAGACCUGCUGAAACACAGGAGGUAACCCCAAGUUCUCUGACUCUCACAUCCAGUUUCAUUUCUGCCCCAUUUCCUGUCACCCUGUGAUGAAGAUGGGAUAUGAGAAUGGGAAGCAGAGCUAAGAUCGUGGGAUUAAUCCUGACUUUUAUCUUAAAGAAAUGAUGUAUUUUUAAUUCACAAAGUAAAAAACAAUGGAAGUGAAAAA
Long non-coding RNA from Pogoniulus pusillus (Red-fronted tinkerbird), 502 nucleotides. RefSeq lists it as uncharacterized. The transcript has 2 exons. Lineage: Eukaryota; Metazoa; Chordata; Aves; Piciformes; Lybiidae. The record is from RefSeq and is a predicted model, not a curated record.